GUCUCAUUCUGUCGCCCAGGCUGGAGUACAGUGGUGCAAUCUCGGCUCACUGCAACCUCCGCCUCCCGGGUUCAACCGAUUGUCCUGCCUCAGCUUCCCGAGUAACUGGAACAACAGGCGCCCGCCACCUCGCCUGGCUAAUAUUUGUAUUUUUAUUAGAGACGGGGUUUCACCAUAUUGGCCAGGCUGCUCUCAAACUCUUGACCUCGUGAUCCACCAGCCUCGGCCUCCCAAAGUGUGGGGAUUACAGGCUUGAGCCACUGCACCCGGCCUGUAAUUUCUAUCUCUGAAAGAUCGGUCUGCACCAUUGUCUGGAAAUUUUGUUUGCUGAAGCAGUUGCUGUAGUCCUUCAUCCCCUUCACCGUGGCUGCUCUUCCUGUAUAUGGAUAUGGAUGCUUUACUGCUGUGCUUGUAUCCAAGCUGGCACUGGAUCGUGCAUAUCUUAUGCUGACUGAAGGUAAUAUAUGGCAGGUCAAAACAGAGAGUCUUUGAAUCCCUUGCUCCAAGCAGAGCUUGAAAUUAAUAGGGCAUCUUGAAUCAAUGAACUGACAUCAUUUGUCAUAUUUUCCUGCCUCUUUGCUUAUUUGGUAAUUUUUAUUGGGUG
RNAcentral lists this long non-coding RNA (604 nucleotides) under Homo sapiens (human). RNAcentral's name for it is "HSALNT0071877". The record is from RNAcentral. Lineage: Eukaryota; Metazoa; Chordata; Mammalia; Primates; Hominidae.